This 1518-nucleotide ribosomal RNA is filed under the name Pinus taeda (loblolly pine). RNAcentral describes it as "SSU rRNA". It matches the Rfam family "Eukaryotic small subunit ribosomal RNA", at positions 67 to 1545 of the family's 1831-position model. The record is from RNAcentral. Lineage: Eukaryota; Viridiplantae; Streptophyta; Pinopsida; Pinales; Pinaceae.
AAAUGACAAAAUUUGACCUUGACACUUCAAAAUCACUAUGUAAGAGCACAUUUGAUCACUGGAGGAAGGCUGUAAAGACUGACACUAACAGGCUCAUUAAAUCAGUUAUAGUUUUUUUGAUGGUACCAUACUACUCGGAUAACCGUAGUAAUUCUAGAGAUAAUACGUGCACCAAGUCCCGACUCUUUGGAAGGGAUGAAUUUUUUAGAUAAAAGGCCGGCGCGGGCUUGCCCGCUUCUCUGGUGAAUCAUGAUAACUCGACGGAUCGCACAGCCCUUGUGCUGGCAAUGCUUCAUUCAAAUUUCUGCCCUAUCAACUUUCGAUUUUAGGAUAGAGGCCUACCAUGGUGGUGACGGGUGACGGAGAAUUAGGGUUCGAUUCCGGAGAGGGAGCCUGAGAAACGGCUACCACAUCCAAGGAAGGAAACAGGCAUGCAAAUUACCCAAUCCUGACAUGGGGAGGUAGUGACAAUAAAUAACAAUACUGGGCUCAUCGAGUCUGGUAAUUGGAAUGAGUACAAUCUAAAUCCCUUAACGAGAAUCCAUUGGAGGGCAAGUCUGGUGCCAGAAGCCGCGGUAAUUCCAGCUCCAAUAGCGUAUAUUUAAGUUGUUGCAGUUAAAAAGCUCGUAGUUGGAUCUUGGGUCGUAAAGGUCGGUCCACCUACUCGGUGUGCACCUGCCCUCCCGUCCCUUUUGUCGGCGGCGUGCUCCUGGCCUUAAUUGGCUGGGUCGCGGCUCCGGCGCUGUUACUUUGAAAAAAUUAGAGUGCUCAAAGCAAGCUUAUGCUCUGAAUACAUUAGCAUGGAAUAACGUGAUAGGAGUCUGGUCCUAUUGUGUUGGCCUUCGGAACCGGAGUAAUGAUUAAUAGGGACUGUCGGGGGCAUUCAUAUUUCAUUGUCAGAGGUGAAAUUCUUGGAUUUAUGAAAGACGGACCACUGCGAAAGCAUUUGCCAAGGAUGUUUUCAUUAAUCAAGAACGAAAGUUGGGGGCUCGAAGACGAUCAGAUACCGUCCUAGUCUCAACCAUAAACGAUGUCGACCAGGGAUUGGCGGAUGUUGCUCUAAGGACUCCACCAGCACCUUUUGAGAAAUCAGAGUGUUUGGGUUCCAGGGGGAGUGUGGUUGCAAGGCUGAAACUUAAAGGAAUUGACGGAAGGGCACCACCAGGAGUGGAGCCUGCGGCUUAAUUUGACUCAACACGGGGAAACUUACCAGGUCCAAACAUAGUAAGUAUUGACAUAUUGAGAGCUCUUUCUUGAUUCUAUGGGUGGUGGUGCAUGGCCGUUCUUAGUUGGUGGAGCGAUUUGUCUGGUUAAUUCCGAUAACGAACGAGACCUCAGCCUGCUAACUAGCUACGAGAAGGUUCCCCUUCGCGGCCAGCUUCUUAGAGGGACUAUGGCCAUUUAGGCCAGGGAAGUUUGAGGCAAUAACAGGUCUGUGAUGCCCUUAGAUGUUCUGGGCCGCACACGCGCUACACCGAUGCAGCCAACGAGCUUUUCUUCCUGGUUCGAGAGGAUCGG